UAGAGCCUUGCCUUGAUGUUGAAUGAUGAAGUUCUUCUGCCUUGUGGAUGCUUGGAGUGAAAUUCAAUGUUCAACCUCUUUGAUGUUUUUUGGACAUGAAGUUGAAAAAUGCAAGGUGGAGUUUUAGAGUACAAGGUUUUGUGGUGUUGGAUGAUAACAGCAUGGUUCCAAAUGCAAGGCUUGGUUUUGUUCAAUAGUUUGUUGACUGGUUUGGAGGAAUGGCCAAGUGAAAUGAAUUUUGUGUUUUUUAGUGGCAAGGCAAUGUUGGUUCCUUGUGGUUUGGUAUUGUUAUGUUGGUUACUAGCAGGUUUUGAAACACAAGGCAAGGCCAAAUGGAUGUAGUUAGUUUAACAUGAUGAAGAGUUGCAAUGGCUAGGUUUUUG
RNAcentral lists this long non-coding RNA (383 nucleotides) under Lathyrus oleraceus (garden pea). RNAcentral describes it as "Pisum sativum (pea) long non-coding RNA (PSAT_LNC031373)". Lineage: Eukaryota; Viridiplantae; Streptophyta; Magnoliopsida; Fabales; Fabaceae. The record is from RNAcentral.